RNAcentral lists this ribosomal RNA (500 nucleotides) under uncultured bacterium. RNAcentral describes it as "partial 16S ribosomal RNA". It matches the Rfam family "Bacterial small subunit ribosomal RNA", at positions 30 to 523 of the family's 1533-position model. The record is from RNAcentral.
AUUGAACGCUGGCGGAAUGCUUUACACAUGCAAGUCGAACGGCAGCACGGACUUCGGUCUGGUGGCGAGUGGCGAACGGGUGAGUAAUACAUCGGAACGUGCCCAGUCGUGGGGGAUAACGUAGCGAAAGCUACGCUAAUACCGCAUACGCUCUAAGGAUGAAAGCGGGGGAUCGCAAGACCUCGCGCGAUUGGAGCGGCCGAUGGCAGAUUAGGUAGUUGGUAGGGUAAGGGCCUACCAAGCCGACGAUCUGUAGCUGGUCUGAGAGGAUGAUCAGCCACACUGGGACUGAGACACGGCCCAGACUCCUACGGGAGGCAGCAGUGGGGAAUUUUGGACAAGGGGCGCAAGCCUGAUCCAGCCAUUCCGCGUGCAGGAUGAAGGCCUUCGGGUUGUAAACUGCUUUUGUACAGAACGAAAAGGCUCUGGUUAAUACCCGGGGCUCAUGACGGUACUGUAAGAAUAAGCACCGGCUAACUACGUGCCAGCCGCCGCGGUAA